UCGAACGAUGAAGCCCUUCGGGGUGGAUUAGUGGCGAACGGGUGAGUAACACGUGGGCAAUCUGCCCUUCACUCUGGGACAAGCCCUGGAAACGGGGUCUAAUACCGGAUAACACUCUGUCCUGCAUGGGACGGGGUUGAAAGCUCCGGCGGUGAAGGAUGAGCCCGCGGCCUAUCAGCUUGUUGGUGGGGUAAUGGCCUACCAAGGCGACGACGGGUAGCCGGCCUGAGAGGGCGACCGGCCACACUGGGACUGAGACACGGCCCAGACUCCUACGGGAGGCAGCAGUGGGGAAUAUUGCACAAUGGGCGAAAGCCUGAUGCAGCGACGCCGCGUGAGGGAUGACGGCCUUCGGGUUGUAAACCUCUUUCAUCAUGGAAGAAGCGCAAGUGACGGUACCUGCACAAGAAGCGCCGGCUAACUACGUGCCAUCAGCCGCGGUAAUACGUAGGGCGCAAGCGUUGUCCGGAAUUAUUGGGCUUAA
Molecule: ribosomal RNA, 484 nt
Filed under: Streptomyces mediolani
Lineage: Bacteria; Bacillati; Actinomycetota; Actinomycetes; Kitasatosporales; Streptomycetaceae
Description: bacterial SSU rRNA
Rfam family: Bacterial small subunit ribosomal RNA
Source: RNAcentral